This 1375-nucleotide long non-coding RNA is filed under the name Numida meleagris (helmeted guineafowl). RNAcentral's name for it is "lncRNA (ENSNMEG00000019168.1)". Lineage: Eukaryota; Metazoa; Chordata; Aves; Galliformes; Numididae. The record is from RNAcentral.
AGUGGGGUGGUUGAUGGAGCAGCUGCUCCCUGUGCCUUGCCCAGCUGAGAAGAUUAUUCUGUUGUCAGUCAAUUUGCCUUUCCUGCCCACCUGAAGUUCUUCUGCUGUCCUCACUUGGAUCAUCUGGUGAAUUUGCAAAACCUUAUACCUUGAAUCCAUCAGUGAACCAGACUUCCUCGUGCACAUAUAAUUCAUUGUGCUCUCAUGAGAACAGUUCUGUGCUACCCAAAGCGUAUGAUUAGUCUGGUUUUGGAAGGCUGAUUCAGCAGACAUAUCUCCUGUUGCAGUCUCAAGUGCAGCAAGUAUGACUGAGAAGAGGCUGUUCUUUUAGCACAGGGGAUACAAAUUCAGAGGAAUGGAAAUUGCAGUGACGUAAAUGUGUUGAUGGGCAGUUAUUAGGAGCAGCAGGGCUAACUCUCAGAGGAAGUUCUUUCUGAGCCAAGCAAAGUGCCCUGGCUGAGCCUUACUGCUGUGUUUGGAGAUGAUGGCCAUUUCCACGUGCUGAUUAGUCAAAGCUGGGUGAUGUGAAGUAGCCUAGCCCAAGUGCGUCAGUUAUCCAGAUGUCAGAGCCAGUCACUCAGAUAAAUGAACUUGGUGACCUGCUGCUUCUCUUCCAUCACUCUCACACACUGUCCGUGUUGAAGCCCUUGAGCAUCACUGUUGUUGCCUCCUUCAGAGCCAGCUGGCCUCAGGGAAGGAAUCUGUCUGUCAGUGACUGGGAGAGCUCUCCAAAUGGCUGUGACUUGUGUGCUGGCUCCGAGAACUCCUCCUUCAUGCUUUUAUAGCCUGCAGAAAUGGGCCUCUCUAUUAUCUGAAUCCGUGAUUGUUUGGAGAUUGCUGGGCUCUGCCAUGACCCAGGGAUAAUAGCCUUGUGCUUUAUAGCAUUCUGCUGCCCUUUAAAUUUGAAGUGUAGUGAGAGCAAAGUGUGGCAGUUCUUGAAGCAGCAUGGAAAAGGAAGCAGCGUCGGGCUUUGAAGGGAUCUAAAGCAAGCAGGGUGCAGCCAGUUCCACUGCCCUGCUGCUGGCCCUUCGCAGCUGCUGCUUCCCGGUGCCUCGCUCUGAACUACCGCACUCUGCCCUGCUGCUGGGAAAGGGGGGGCAUAACUGUGGAGUUAGAGCUGGCAUCCUGACUGUGGGAUGGGGCUGCGCGUGGCAUGAGGCUGUCAGGCAGCAGGAGCACGCGUGCCAUGGCAUCCCUGCAGUGGGGUUAAGGUAUGCUUCCAACUCACGAGUUAUACGCUGAGUUACCACAGCACCAAUCUUGCCCCUUUGCCCUGCUCGUCCCAGCCUACCAAUAGCUUCUAGAACACUGCUACAGUGGAGGAAGAAGACUUGGAAUCCUAGGUGUCAUAUUUGCUUCUUGGUACAUACGCGGA